UACGUAGGGUGCAGGCGUUAAUCGGAAUUACUGGGCGUAAAGCGUGCGCAGGCGGUUUGCUAAGAGAGAUGUGAAAUCCCCGGGCUUAACCUGGGAACUGCGUUUCUAACUGGCAGGCUUGAGUGUGGCAGAGGGGGGUGGAAUUCCACGUGUAGCAGUGAAAUGCGUAGAGAUGUGGAGGAACACCGAUGGCGAAGGCAGCCCCCUGGGCUAACACUGACGCUCAUACACGAAAGCGUGGGGAGCAAACAGG
This 253-nucleotide ribosomal RNA is filed under the name uncultured bacterium. RNAcentral's name for it is "partial 16S ribosomal RNA". It matches the Rfam family "Bacterial small subunit ribosomal RNA", at positions 524 to 776 of the family's 1533-position model. The record is from RNAcentral.